RNAcentral lists this non-coding RNA (159 nucleotides) under Cycloclasticus sp. symbiont of Bathymodiolus heckerae. Lineage: Bacteria; Pseudomonadati; Pseudomonadota; Gammaproteobacteria; Thiotrichales; Piscirickettsiaceae. RNAcentral also lists the same sequence under 1 other name. The record is from RNAcentral.
AGAAUCAAGAAACGUAUUGGUUCCUUUGUAGGUUAAUUGGGAAGUAUGGUUCGCUUUUUGUUUAUUAAUGAAACGUUAUUCCAUCGCUGCCACCGCAACGGUAAUGAAAAAUAGUGGUAUUUUUUAAGCCCGGAGACCAGCCAAUACCCUUCAGUUAUU